This 468-nucleotide ribosomal RNA is filed under the name uncultured bacterium. Its description in RNAcentral is "partial 16S ribosomal RNA". It matches the Rfam family "Bacterial small subunit ribosomal RNA", at positions 28 to 507 of the family's 1533-position model. The record is from RNAcentral.
GACGAACGCUGGCGGCGUGCUUAACACAUGCAAGUCGAACGGAAAGGCCCUGCUUUUGUGGGGUGCUCGAGUGGCGAACGGGUGAGUAACACGUGAGUAACCUGCCCUUGACUUUGGGAUAACUUCAGGAAACUGGGGCUAAUACCGGAUAGGAGCUCCUGCUGCAUGGUGGGGGUUGGAAAGUUUCGGCGGUUGGGGAUGGACUCGCGGCUUAUCAGCUUGUUGGUGGGGUAGUGGCUUACCAAGGCUUUGACGGGUAGCCGGCCUGAGAGGGUGACCGGCCACAUUGGGACUGAGAUACGGCCCAGACUCCUACGGGAGGCAGCAGUGGGGAAUAUUGCACAAUGGGCGGAGGCCUGAUGCAGCAACGCCGCGUGCGGGAUGGCGGCCUUCGGGUUGUAAACCGCUUUCGCCUGUGACGAAGCGUGAGUGACGGUAAUGGGUAAAGAAGCACCGGCUAACUACGUG